RNAcentral lists this ribosomal RNA (253 nucleotides) under uncultured prokaryote. Its description in RNAcentral is "partial 16S ribosomal RNA". It matches the Rfam family "Bacterial small subunit ribosomal RNA", at positions 524 to 776 of the family's 1533-position model. The record is from RNAcentral.
GACAGAGGGUGCAAACGUUGCUCGGAAUUACUGGGCGUAAAGCGCGUGUAGGCGGACCGAUAAGUCAGGCGUGAAAUCCCUAGGCUCAACCUAGGAACUGCACCUGAAACUGUCGGCCUUGAGUAGUGGAGAGGAAAGCAGAAUUCCUGGUGUAGAGGUGAAAUUCGUAGAUAUCAGGAGGAACACCGGUGGCGAAGGCGGCUUUCUGGACACUUACUGACGCUGAGACGCGAAAGCGUGGGGAGCAAACAGG